CGUUUUGCACAAUGGAAGGGCGCCAACGUGUCAAUCGUCUUGCAUUGCUUCGACUCCGUUUCCAUCCCCUUUUCUUUCCCUCUUUUCCUCUCCGACUCUUUCUGUAACCAUCCAUCACUGUAAAUUCGUCAAAAAAUCCGACACAAAUAGACACGUUUCGAGGAGGACAAGGUGAAAAAACAAGGCGUUUGGUGUGUAUGACGAGCGCUUCGGAGCUUUUCUACAACCGGGGGUCUCGCUACACCAGCCGAACCGCCACCGAUCUAGGGUUCGACUCCCUCCCUCUUCUUCCGACAGUUGCCCGAAGUCAAAACCAUAAUCACAGUCGACGCCACCACAAUUCCGACGGCUGUGAUCCCCUCCUCCGCCGAACUCCUCUCUAUUUCCGCCACCGCGCCUACCUUCCUUCACGGCACCAAGGUCGUCGCUGCACCACCUCUCUCUUCCGGAAGAUUGAAAGCUCAGAGACACUUCAAGUCUGCUUAUGCUAAAGCUUCGGACCACGUUCCCUAGCAGUUUAGGCAGGAAAAUCUCGAAGAUGGAGGUGAGUUUUCACUACCCUUUUGCUCAAUUUUUUGUUUAUUGAUUUUUAUAGAUUGCCAUCUCUUCUAAUUUUGUUUUAAGUGGGAAUUUGUGAUUCGUUUCUGUAUUUUAAUCAAAUUUGCUAUGUGCACGUAUUGUUUCCUUUCUGAUUUUUUUUUUUGGUUUUGUAUUUCGGAUGGGAGGUUUCAAAUUUUCAAUUGGGUUACUGCGUAAAGAGGAAGGGAAUAUAGGGGAAGUUGAAGUUUGAACAUUUAAUUGUUAAUCUUAUGAUAUUUGAGGAGACAAUAGGUUUUAUUUGGUUGAAGAAGGUAGUAAAUUUAGAAAAAAUUGAGGGCAAUUUCAUGUUGCCAUAUUAUUAUCAUGCAUUAUCCUAUACAGGAAGAGGAACUAUUGGGGUGAACUAGAUUGGUCAUGCUCUAUUGAUAUGUCGAAAGUGAAUGACUGACCAUAAUCUGAUUGGAGAAGUCAAGGGAAGUGCGUAGUUGAGGAUUGUAUAAUUUGGAUUAGUGUACGACUAUGGCAUGGGAGGAAGAAGUGGACCGUGCACGCCAAGGUCAGAGGGAUGCAUAGGUCAAGCUUUCUUCUUUGAGGCCGAAGUCCAAAAAAUGAGAGUUGAGAUGGCUUCCAUGAAGAGGGAUGCAGAGCAUUCCUUGCGCCAAGAACACAUGGAGCUAGAGAAGCUCUAUCGUGAACUCACUGAUCUACUGGUGAGUUGCCGGAUGCAUGUGCAGAUUACUCAAAUAGACGAAGCUAAGAAUGACUUAGUAUUGAGUGAGAAAGAAGCUUGGGAACUGUUAUACCUUAAGGAGGGAACGCUUGUAGAAGGAACUGUCAAGAAAAUCUUUCCAUAUGGAGCCCAAGUGAGGAUAGGAUAAACUAACAGGAGGUAUAAUGACUUUCAAACUUACUUUAAAAUCAGACUGCGUGCGUGGUUUCCCUGCUUUUUCCACUUUUGAAGAAGCGUUGCAUGUGUGGAGUACUUUUGAAAGAUUAGAACACCACAAAAUGGAAAUAAAAUAGCAUGGGACUUUCUCUCAAAAGGUAUCUAAAUGCAUGAAAAAAUGAGAAGAUACAUAAUAUUGAUCUUCAGAAUAGAAAUGAAAAUUUUGAACUUUAAAAUGGAAGGCAUGCAAUUUUGUACUCUUACCCAGCAGUUGCCUCUCAGAAUUGUCUCAUUCCCUUUCUUAAGAGGGAUCUAUUUUGAUAAGAAACAAGACCUUACAACUAUUGCAUUCUUCGUUUUUCUUGAAUUUCCUUGGUUUUUGAUGGGUGAUUGAGUGGUGUUUGAUUGAGAAAUUUGCUGAUUAGGGUUAGGUUGGCGUCUGUUUGGUUGGCUGGAAAUUUUGGGAAAGAAAAUGGGGUCAUGGGAUAAGGAUUUAGGACCUUUGUAACUCUAUUCAUAUGUAUCUCCUGAUUAGUAUUCAAAUUUAGUGCAUAUAAGUCCAUUUCUUAAGAGGGAUCUAUUUUGAUAAGAAACAAGACCUUACAACUGUUGCAUUCUUCGUUUUCUUGAUUGUAAAGUCUGUGUACCAUGUUAAGUAUAUUAAUAGGAUGCUUAGGUAAUUGUAGGAGAAGUUAUGCGUGCAUUCUUUUGGCAAUCCUUUCCCAGAACCUGUAGUGAUCCUGAUAUGAGUCUAACUCUGCCUUGGUCAUAGCUCAACAUGGAAACGUUAUGAAAUAUCUUCUUUAUAAGUGUUUCUAGGCUCUAGCCUCCUCUUUUUUAGCAGACUUAUCUAAUGUAUAACAAAGCAUGUUCUACUAGAGCUCAAAUCAUACAAAGAGAGGGAAAAUCAAAAUACACCAGAAAUAUAAAAAAAAACUUAAUUUAUUAAGAUGUAUGGAGGAAAGGUUUUAGUCAUUUAAAAUUGGUUUAAAUUAACGAUGUUAUAUAGUGAUUCUAAUUUGAUGCUUGCUUGCCCUGCAAUCAACUCAGUGCUUAAUGAUUAUGCAUGUUUCCCACUUCCCAGGUCUAAUUUGAUCGCAUGCAUGUAACAAUAGUUAAAUUGGGGGACUGGACAAUUAACUAAUGGAUUUGCUGUGUUUGCGAUUUUCAUUUUCAUGUUUUUGGAUUUAAUUAGGUUUGUAGUUUGUCAUAUGAUUGACUUCUGAAUGAUGUUACGGACUCAUGUUGUGCCAUCGCUUAUGCCCUUUUAACCUGUAUAUGUGUUCCCUCAAUGGGUUUUAUUAUCCCUGAAAUCUUUUUGAAAUCAAAUGUUGCUCCUUUCGUUUGUGAUAGUUUGUACACUACUAAAUUCUUAAUUGAAGUCAUUAUUCUUUUGUUUUCUGCCUUUUCACCUUCUUAAGAGUCUGAAAUCCAUAUAUAUGUAACCCUUAAUUAGUUUAGAUAUGCCUUUUCCCAUUCUUAAACGCGAUACUCUCAACAUUUAUUUCAUGAAUCUAUAAGAACCACAUAUCUUGGGAUGCAAAAUCUGUACUGUAAUAUUAACUGAAUAUAUUCAUACUUUGAUUCUACCUGUUGAUUGGGCAAUAAUCUUCUCCUAAACUAACAAUCUGACUAUCUGACUAUCAUACUAAUUAGAAACAUGCUGAUGCUAUUUGAUACGCAUGCAUCAUAUAUAUCAUACAUACCUUUGCAGGGAGAUGUUCAACAAUGGUGGACUUUCCGUAUGCAGUAAUUUCGGCACUCUUUCAGAUUUGUACUUUAUUCUAUAUUUGUUGCUAGAAGCGUAGUACUGUAUGGAAGGAACACAAUUUUUUAUAGUUUUUUUGUUUGGUGCUAAACAUCCCAUCUCUGUGUUAUUCUCAGACUCUCACAGUCGCCGCAUCACUCGCCCACUCACUCACUCACUCACUCCAGGCUAGAAAUAAGACAACUCGGUGAGGGGAUACAUCAUGUUCCAGGUCUGGUUGAGGCACAUGUAAACAACAUGAGUGAAGUCUGGGAAGUUCUGCAAACUGGCAGUAAUGCAAGGAGAACGACUCAAGGAAACUCAAAACAUAAAUAGGAACUCGAAGCUUACCCACUUGCUUCAAGACUCUCUAGGAGGAGACUCGAAGACACUCAUGUUUGUUCAAAUAAGUCCUAAUGAAAAUGGUGUGAGUGAGACAUUUUGCUCACUGAACUUUGCAAGUAGAGUGAGACGGAUAGAGUUGGGUCCAGCAAAGAGGCAACUGGACACUUGUGAACUUUUGAGAUACAAACAGAUGGUCAAUCCCCAAUUUUAUGCAUUUAAGUGGAUCACCCUCCUCUUAACCACAAAAUAUACAGACUUCGAAAUCAAUACUGUAAUUAAGCUGCUGUUUCUUGCGAAUAUCAGUUUUCAAUUUCCAAUCAACAACGGGUAGAUCUAUAGGACAUGCACGAACGCGUACUUCACAAGUAAUGCUUUUAUCAAAUUCAAAAUGGCAGGAGUUCAAUUUCGCUGACAGCCUUCACACUUGGGAUACACUUUCAAGUGAUCUGAGGGUCCUCAGAAGUAAUUGAUAAGAGUUGGAUGUGAUUCUACUAAAGUUGGAAAUCGUUGUCCUUAGAGCAAGCAAGUUUGCAGAUAUCCAUUUUGUUUUGAUUCGGGCAUCUUCAACCAGUUAGUAUAGGACAUAAAAAAAUGAUUUGAUUGAACUGUUAUGUAUUUCUAUUUUUUUUAAGGAAAACUAAUGAAAAGAGCUUGAAAACUUGGAGUUUUAAUGAUAAGGACAAAAUAAAGGGUAAAAUGAAU
Molecule: non-coding RNA, 4220 nt
Organism: Malus domestica (apple)
Lineage: Eukaryota; Viridiplantae; Streptophyta; Magnoliopsida; Rosales; Rosaceae
Source: RefSeq, a predicted model, not a curated record